Molecule: long non-coding RNA, 198 nt
Organism: Ctenocephalides felis (cat flea)
Lineage: Eukaryota; Metazoa; Arthropoda; Insecta; Siphonaptera; Pulicidae
Exons: 3
Source: RefSeq, a predicted model, not a curated record
CAUACUACCAAAAAACCUCUACCGAAUCGAAGAUAUGUGCAAGGUUACAGAAUCAAUGUCUUUUCGCACCACAAAGCACCAGGACUUCUAAAUAACUGCCAGGAGGAUACGCAUAUUUACAGGGGCAUUUGUGUUUUUUUUUUUCAUUUCAGAUAUCUUUCAAAGAAGACAUUUUAUUGUAUGUCUAUAUGUUUUACC